AUCUCUUAUGAUGAUUCAAAAUUAAUAACUUUCGUUCUUCUGAGAUUUUUCGUGCUGAAAGUUUUUUGGAGACCUGAACUGAAGAGAU
Molecule: small nucleolar RNA, 88 nt
Filed under: Helianthus annuus (common sunflower)
Lineage: Eukaryota; Viridiplantae; Streptophyta; Magnoliopsida; Asterales; Asteraceae
Description: Small nucleolar RNA Z159/U59
Rfam family: Small nucleolar RNA Z159/U59
About the family: This family consists of several snoRNA Z159 or U59 sequences which are members of the C/D class of snoRNA which contain the C (UGAUGA) and D (CUGA) box motifs. This family seems to be found exclusively in rice. C/D box small nucleolar RNAs are known to act as a methylation guides for 18S ribosomal RNA in plants.
Source: Rfam by way of RNAcentral